RNAcentral lists this transfer RNA (71 nucleotides) under Leucobacter luti. It matches the Rfam family "tRNA". Rfam says of the family: Transfer RNA (tRNA) molecules are approximately 80 nucleotides in length. Their secondary structure includes four short double-helical elements and three loops (D, anti-codon, and T loops). The record is from Rfam by way of RNAcentral. Lineage: Bacteria; Bacillati; Actinomycetota; Actinomycetes; Micrococcales; Microbacteriaceae.
ACCGGUGUGGCUGAUCGGUCAAACACCGGACUGAAAAUCCGGGCAGGUGGGCUCGCAUCCCAUCGCCAGCC